AACAACCAGUUUUUCUCCAGAUGUUCCUGCCCCCGGACUUCAUGUUUCCAAGCAAGCAGAUGUACCUUCUGCAUACCACCUGGAUAAAGAGAGGACCAAUAGCAUAUGAGGUGAUUUGGCCUCUCUGCCCUGUUUGCCCCCAAACAGGAAGUUUCUGCUAUAUGAUCGACCAGGCCCAGAAUCAUCUGUGGAACUGAAUGGUGCUGCCAUGCUUACUGCAACAAGAAAUCACAAAAGCAGGGGAGAGGAGGACCUCAUUUUGCUGUUUGAAUCAGUGCUGGCUAUAAAACUAAUCUGAAAUUAGUCCUUGGAUGGGAGACAACCAGGAAAUUCCAGGGCUGUAGACAAAAUUUUUUGGUCUUGACACAUAAGCUGAGAACACCUCAUAAGAGCCUAAGAAAUACCCUACUGGAUCAGAUCAGUGGGCUUUCUAGUUCAGCAGUGUUUAACCAGUUGUAUGUGGAAUCAAACAAACACAGUCUCCCGAUGACUAGCCUCCUCUAUCAGGGAUAGUCACACUGCCAUCAUCUCUGGCGGCAGCAGCAGCAAACUAUUUUUGCACUGUUGCCAAAAGCAAAGUGUGGGUGUGUCCGUUAGUCAUCAGGAGCUGAGUUCAAUUUGAGGGAGUCUUUAAUUUCAUCUUACUAAAUCAGACUUUUAAAAGUGUAGAGAUUUGCCUUUUUCAAUGAUGUCAUUCUUCUGCUCAGUAUUAUGUGUCAAAGAAUGCCUGUCAUUUAUAUUUGUUUUUUCUACUGAGUUUUGCAACUAAAAUCCUCUGUAAUAAUUUAUUUUAACUUUAUAUACCACACUUCAUUUUUGUGGGCUCAAACCAGAUUAAAAGAAAAAACAAGGAACUGUUCAGCUAGAAUGGAUGCUUGAUAGCCAGCACAAGUGGAAACAGCAGUAUUAAAAAUAUGAGGAGGGAUGUCAGCAAAGUCCAUUGCCCCCGAGCCCUACUGCAGUCAUAUCACACUCUGCAGCCUUUUAGAAAAAGUAGGAAAAGAGAAGAUGUUAUUCUCAUCUACACCCAGCAAUCUGAGAUAACCUGAGAGCCAGCAUCAUGUAGUGGCUUGAGCAUUGGGCUGAAUUCCUGGGUUCAAAUCUCUGUUGGCCUUGAAAGCUCAUUGGGUGACCUUCAGCCAGUCACUGCUGUUCAGACUAGCCUACCUCAUAGGGUUGCUGUGAAGAUAAAAUGGA
This 1197-nucleotide long non-coding RNA is filed under the name Salvator merianae (Argentine black and white tegu). Its description in RNAcentral is "lncRNA (ENSSMRG00000015159.1)". The record is from RNAcentral. Lineage: Eukaryota; Metazoa; Chordata; Lepidosauria; Squamata; Teiidae.